Molecule: unclassified non-coding RNA, 306 nt
Filed under: Hevea brasiliensis (rubber tree)
Lineage: Eukaryota; Viridiplantae; Streptophyta; Magnoliopsida; Malpighiales; Euphorbiaceae
Source: RNAcentral
CUCAAUGUUCAAGCAAAGAAAGGUGAAAGUAAGGAUAGAGCAACUGAGUGAGAAUUCCUAUAGCUACGCCUUGAAGACACAUUCAGAUCAGCUCCAGGUAUAUCAUAGGUAUACCCAUGUACAUAGGUUUUGAUGUAUGCAUGUAAUAAUAUGUAUGUAAAUUAUUUGAGCAGUUGUAUAAAAACUCUUGUAAAAUAUUUUGGUAUGUAAUCAAAUGCAAAUCAUUGUAAUAUAAAUUUGAGAUUUCAUUUACCUGUAUAGUUUUGUAAUAUUAAUUUUUGAGUUUUGUAAUUAAUGAAAUGUUUC